RNAcentral lists this RNase P RNA (394 nucleotides) under Candidatus Sneabacter namystus. RNAcentral describes it as "Bacterial RNase P class A". It matches the Rfam family "Bacterial RNase P class A". From Rfam's summary of the family: Ribonuclease P (RNase P) is a ubiquitous endoribonuclease, found in archaea, bacteria and eukarya as well as chloroplasts and mitochondria. The record is from Rfam by way of RNAcentral. Lineage: Bacteria; Pseudomonadati; Pseudomonadota; Alphaproteobacteria; Rickettsiales; Rickettsiaceae.
GGAGGUGAUUCGGUAGCAGCGGGUGUGUUAUUAAUUAGACACCUGAGGAAAGUCCGGGCUUUAAGGGAGGCGACACUGGAUAAUGUCCAGCCUUCUUGUUUGUUCAAGAAGAGGGAAAGUGCCACAGAAAAUAUACCGCUAAAUAUUUUAGUAAGGGUGAAAAGGUGUGGUAAGAGCUCACCGGUGCUUUGGUAACAAGGCACGCAUGGUAAACCCUGUCGAAAGCAAGACCAAACAUGCCUGGUGAGUCUUGUACUCAAGAUUCUCCCUAUCUCUCUAUAUGCAUCAGGCGGGUAGGUCGCGUGAGCUGCGUAGUAAUGCGUAGCCAAGAUGGAUUGCUACCAGGCUUUUUUAAAAAAGCCUACAGAACCCGGCUUAUGAUUCACCUCCUUUU